CCCUGAAAUGGAAUGUCAUACGGCCAGAGCCCAGAAAUGAGAAUGGGAAUCCCAUUCCGCCCUACCAAAGGGCUAUUACCAUUUCGGUUCCAACCCAUUCCCGUUAACCAAACGGACCCUAAUGUAUUUUGUUUAUUUUCCUGUGGGCUGUGAUUCACAGCCUGUGAAUCUGUGGUGAUCGAAAAUCAACUAGAGAGAAGGUUAAGAAGAGAUGGUCCACUUUUCUUUGAUUUAUUGAUUCAUUCAUCGAAUUUUCAUCUCUACGGCAAACAUGUUCUGUUCGAGGCUGCUGUCUAAGAAAAUCCCUCCCCUACCUUGUUUGAAGAACUCACGCUCUUUUCUCUUUGAAACCAAGCAAGUAAAAGAAGCUUUAGGAUUGGACUUCAAUGGCGGAUCCAUUUUGGGCGGUUCUCAGUUUUGGGGUUUCACUUCAAGGCGUGAAUUUACUUAUAUGAGGCCAUUCGGUGUUAACUGCAAUUGUGUUUCAACGACUUUUGCUUCCCGGAAUCUGCCGAGAUGUUCUUCGUCGACUGUGGGUCCCUGGGUGAGGAGGGGUUAUACGACUCAGACUGCACAGGCUGCAAGAGAGCGAAAGUCAAAGAAGACUCUUGUGUACUUAACAGCAGUGGCUUGCGUUAUGGUGGGUUGUACUUAUGCAGCUGUUCCACUUUACAGGAGAUUCUGUCAAGCUACUGGUUAUGGGGGCACUGUUCAACGACGCGAGACUGUUGAGGAAAAGAUUGCAAGACAUGCUCAAGAUGGAUCUGCCCCUACAAGGGAGGUUGUGGUGCAGUUCAAUGCAGAUGUAGCAGAUGGGAUGCCAUGGAAGUUUGUCCCUACACAAAGAGAAGUAAGGGUCAAGCCAGGAGAAAGUGCACUUGCAUUUUACACUGCUGAAAACCGAAGCUCAACUCCUAUUACUGGUGUUUCUACGUACAAUGUCACCCCAAUGAAGGCUGCAGUGUAUUUCAACAAAAUACAAUGCUUUUGCUUUGAGGAGCAACGACUUCUUCCAGGAGAGCAGAUUGACAUGCCGGUUUUCUUCUAUAUUGACCCUGAAUUUGAGACGGACCCUAGAAUGGAUGGUGUCAACAAUUUGAUCUUAUCCUACACCUUUUUCAAAGUAGGCGAAGAGUAGACAUACUGCCUGUGUUUUCCAGUGAUAGUGCUACUAGUGGCUAACUUCCCAUUUUUUGGCGUUGUGGUACUUGGUUAAAAAAAGAACAUUGGCACAAGUACCUUGCGCAUGGACGCCAUGCAAACUUUCAUCACCAUUCAUAAAAGAAAAAGGCCUUAUUAGCAUUAAGCGUGUUAAAUUAUCAGGUGAAAGAUUCCUUUGGCUUAGAAGUUAACUUGUCUUAUGUUAAAACAUUUUUCAUCCAUUCUCUUGUUUUGCAAUUAUCUGGAAAUCAGCUACAGCAGUUUGUAGCAAACCCUUUGGCUUCGGUGUAAAUACAAAAUUACACCGAUGGAAUUUUACAACGGUCAGAUUUCUGAGUGUAAAAUGCAAACCGGCUUUAUACUCCUUUUACAACGAUGUAAAAGGACAAGAACCCCUAUUUUUCUAUGAUGAAUCAGUGGAUGAAUGAUGAAUCGGUGUUAAAUGUUUGCAUGAAAUUAAAAGGGAAAA
This is a non-coding RNA of Nelumbo nucifera (sacred lotus), 1630 nucleotides long. Lineage: Eukaryota; Viridiplantae; Streptophyta; Magnoliopsida; Proteales; Nelumbonaceae. The record is from RefSeq and is a predicted model, not a curated record.